GAGGAUAUAGCUCAGUGGUAGAGUGCAUGCCUAGCAUGCAUGAGGUCCUGGGUUCAAUUCCCAGUACCUAUA
This 72-nucleotide transfer RNA is filed under the name Camelus bactrianus (Bactrian camel). It matches the Rfam family "tRNA". From Rfam's summary of the family: Transfer RNA (tRNA) molecules are approximately 80 nucleotides in length. Lineage: Eukaryota; Metazoa; Chordata; Mammalia; Artiodactyla; Camelidae. RNAcentral also lists the same sequence under 2 other names. The record is from Rfam by way of RNAcentral.